This 581-nucleotide ribosomal RNA is filed under the name uncultured eukaryote. Its description in RNAcentral is "eukaryotic LSU rRNA". The stretch from base 212 to 365 matches the Rfam family "5.8S ribosomal RNA". The record is from RNAcentral.
UCUUGGUCAUUUAGAGGAAGUAAAAGUCGUAACAAGGUCUCCGUUGGUGAACCAGCGGAGGGAUCAUUAUCGAGUUAUUCAACUCCCAAACCCUAUGUGAACUUACCACUUGUUGCUUCGGCGCGCGCUUCGGCGCCGCCGAGGACACUUAAACUCUUUGUUUUUAUAAGCAUUUCUGAGUGGCCGAAAGGCAAAAAUACAAAUGAAUCAAAACUUUCAACAACGGAUCUCUUGGUUCUGGCAUCGAUGAAGAACGCAGCGAAAUGCGAUAAGUAAUGUGAAUUGCAGAAUUCAGUGAAUCAUCGAAUCUUUGAACGCACAUUGCGCCCGCCAGCAUUCUGGCGGGCAUGCCUGUUCGAGCGUCAUUUCAACCCUCGAGCCCGACUCUUUUGAGGACGGCUCGGCGUUGGGGGACGGCAGACUCCCCCCGGCAUCUCGCCGGGGACGCCGCCCCCGAAAUCUAGUGGCGGCCCUCCGAGGCGACCUCUGCGUAGUAACUUGUUCUCGCACCGGAAAGCUCAGAGCGGCCACGCCGUAAAACCCCAACUUUUUUCAGGUUGACCUCGAAUCAGGUAGGACUA